This is a non-coding RNA of Microcebus murinus (gray mouse lemur), 641 nucleotides long. Lineage: Eukaryota; Metazoa; Chordata; Mammalia; Primates; Cheirogaleidae. The record is from RefSeq and is a predicted model, not a curated record.
UUAUAAAAGGAACAAAAUAUAUCGUUUAAUGGUAGAUGUUAAAUUCAUUCAUUUUCAUCUUUUUCAUUGACACAUAUUUUUAGGGCUAUGAUUUUUCCCCUCAGUGCUGCUUUAGUUGUGUUACCAGAGAAAGUUUUCUAAACUUUUCUGAAGAUUCAAUUGGGAGUACUUGCUAAAUACAAAUUUCUUGACCCAAUCUCAGACCCUCUGAAUUGGAAUCUCCAGGGAAAGGGCAUGAGCCAUAGAUUUCUUAACAAGUAUCACAAGUGAGUUCCUAUAAUUCAAGGAGUUUGAGAAACACUGCCAUAGCAUGUGAUAUUACAAACGUUUUUAUUUGCUAUUUUCUAGAUAAUCUGCAAUUCAUCUUUGACUAUUUUUAGAACACAGAAUCAUUUUUUGGGAACUACUUUUUUCCUUCUCAGAGACACUUGGAAAGAAGAUCUUUAUGAAGUUGGAUAAUAUUACACCUGGAUUUUCAUUUGACAGGUUGUGUUUACCUGUCGAACCCCAGUAUGAGAAACGUGUACAAAAGGGACAGACUGUAACAUAAAAAGAAUUGACUGACUAGAUCUGGUUCACAUCUGAAAAUGGUUAUGGUCCCACGGAAAGCUUCACCUGUCUGUCUGAAUGCAGGAUGGUUG